This is a long non-coding RNA of Esox lucius (northern pike), 1563 nucleotides long. Lineage: Eukaryota; Metazoa; Chordata; Actinopteri; Esociformes; Esocidae. The record is from Ensembl.
UAUGGGUCCCGGGUCGGGAAACUGCCACUUUUCCAGAAAGCUUUUCCACCUCUGACUAGCCAUGACAAGUUUGAAUACAUCCGGCAUGUUACUCCGCCUCACUCCUCCAAAAGAGACACAAUCUGGAUCCAUCCUAAAUACUUCUUUGGGGACGACGAUGAAGAGGAAGAGUCAUCAGAUAACACAGUGCCUAACAACCCUCUGGCUCUAAAUGUCAGCAAGGCUGCUUUUUUAAACCAGUUUCCACUGACCGAUGUAUUCCAAUCCACCAAAACAGACUUCAUUGACCGUAAAACAACCCCUAGGUAUGUGCCAGUCAAGGUCAACGUGCAAACAGGGGUUAUAACAGAUGACUCUGUGGUGGCUAGUAAUAACCCAUUUGAAGUGGAAACACAACAGGAUGAAACACCAGCUGGGCCUAAGCCUGACCCCAAACCAGUAAAACCCCAGAGAAAGCAUUCGGAAAAGAUCAAAGCAUACAUCAAAUCGGGACAGUAUUUGAAAGACAAACGUCUUUAUGAACAGGCCUUAUAUCGCUACAGUGGACAGGCUGUAAGAGACCAGGCUCUGAGAGAGGCAGAGAGAAACAAACCCAAGAUUAUUAUUGUUCCUCUGGUUCUAGUCUGGAACGUCUUUAAUUACGCAUUCUUGACCACGCGAUAUGUGCCGUAUGACAGUGGUCUUUGUAAUGAUAUGGUUGAUCACAUCCACAUCAAGAUUCAGAAGGAGGCACUUAAGUACAAGGACCACAGAGUGUUCAAAUCCACUCUGAAGAAUCUUGAAGAGGAUCCAUUGAUGAUGAGCACCUUUGUCUUAAACUGCUGUCAGUCAUUUGUAAUUAAAUACUGGAACAUCGUCCAGGACCAUAUACGAUCGAAAGAACAGCUGCACCCAGACAAACUGUCUCUGCUGGUCUGUGACCUCAUGGUGGGGGAGAUUAUGACUCAUCUGAGGCCUACCUUGACUUUCUCCAAAGACACUAAAGAUGGGGACAACCGGCCGUACUGCAUUAAUGUCCCGGUCAAAAGAGAUACCAGCUCUCCAGAUGAUGCAGACAAGACCAAGCUGGAGCUUCGCAUUGAGAAAGCUAGGGCUGACCAAAUGAAGGAACUUCUCGUCCCAUCGGAACCCAAAGACCACUCAUGGGCAGCUUGGAUGGAAAUGAUGGAGGAGUAUGAGCAGUUUCAUAAGAAGAAAACCUGUUGGGACUGGUUCUGUGGACUGUUUCGCCGGAAGAAAAAGACCACGUUUGAAAAAAGAGUGGAAGAUUUCGAAAAAUACUGUCGCAAGAGCAGUUAGAGUCCGACACACAAACAAACCAAAUGAAUUGAUUCACACACAUUAGACUACCUUUGACAUCAAACCAAAUUAACUGACACACGCACAUUUUUUACUUAGAAAUCCUCUGACCACAAACAAAUGAACUGAUACACACAUAAAAAAUGUGCCUUCCUCAAACCACACACAAACCAUAUGGAUUUAAACAGUACACACAUUUACAACUUAGUCUUCCUCUGACAACAACCUUUUCCCCUGUUAUUUAUAAAAAUUAAAUUAAAACAA